CGGUAGCUAAAUGCGGAAGAGAUAAGUGCUGAAAGCAUCUAAGCACGAAACUUGCCCCGAGAUGAGUUCUCCCUGACCCCUUGAGGGUCCUGAAGGAACGUUGAAGACGACGACGUUGAUAGGCCGGGUGUGUAAGCGCAGCGAUGCGUUGAGCUAACCGGUACUAAUGAACCGUGAGGCUUAACCUUACAACGCCGAAGCUGUU
RNAcentral lists this ribosomal RNA (205 nucleotides) under Escherichia coli. RNAcentral's name for it is "partial 23S ribosomal RNA". It matches the Rfam family "Bacterial large subunit ribosomal RNA", at positions 2743 to 2925 of the family's 2925-position model. Lineage: Bacteria; Pseudomonadati; Pseudomonadota; Gammaproteobacteria; Enterobacterales; Enterobacteriaceae. The record is from RNAcentral.